Non-coding RNA from Cinara cedri, 352 nucleotides. The record is from the annotation of a GenBank genome assembly. NCBI's taxonomy places the organism in Eukaryota, Metazoa, Arthropoda, Insecta, Hemiptera, Aphididae.
UUAAUGAAAUUUAUUACAAUUAUAAAAUAACAGUAUCUGUUCUGCAAUACCUAUUGAAGUAAAUACAAAUAUUUGUGUUAUCUUUACGAGCGCUUCAAAACCAGAAUGAUAAAAACUGUAGAGUUCGAACACUCGGAAGCUCGGGAAAAUCCGGACAGGACAGGGACGAGCGGAUCGGUAAAACCAACGGUUUCGCCCGGUUCCGGCGUUUACGAACGCGUCUGUAGACUCCUCUGCGACGGUCCGGAUUCGCGCACGGGCAUUCCCGCGCUCGGGCGUGACAUUACCGCGCCGACGACAGACCAAUCUCGUACUAAUGUUGUGCAUAAUCGCGUGCACGGUUAUCGGGUAA